Molecule: ribosomal RNA, 286 nt
Filed under: Escherichia coli
Lineage: Bacteria; Pseudomonadati; Pseudomonadota; Gammaproteobacteria; Enterobacterales; Enterobacteriaceae
Description: partial 16S ribosomal RNA
Rfam family: Bacterial small subunit ribosomal RNA
Source: RNAcentral
GCUUGGGCUUCUUUGCUGACGAGUGGCGGACGGGUGAGUAAUGUCUGGGAAACUGCCUGAUGGAGGGGGAUAACUACUGGAAACGGUAGCUAAUACCGCAUAACGUCGCAAGACCAAAGAGGGGGACCUUCGGGCCUCUUGCCAUCGGAUGUGCCCAGAUGGGAUUAGCUAGUAGGUGGGGUAACGGCUCACCUAGGCGACGAUCCCUAGCUGGUCUGAGAGGAUGACCAGCCACACUGGAACUGAGACACGGUCCAGACUCCUACGGGAGGCAGCAGUGGGGAAU